This is an RNA transcript of Hevea brasiliensis (rubber tree), 2632 nucleotides long. It is a transcript of the gene named serine/threonine-protein kinase Nek6, with no coding region annotated. The record is from RefSeq and is a predicted model, not a curated record. The transcript has 16 exons. NCBI's taxonomy places the organism in Eukaryota, Viridiplantae, Streptophyta, Magnoliopsida, Malpighiales, Euphorbiaceae.
GUGCAGUGCCAAAUACUUGACUUUGUCCUCUCUCUCCCUCCCUCAAGUUGGAAAAUGGAAGCCCAUAAUUAUGAAACAUAGCUUUACUCGACUUUCUGUCUCUCACCCUAUAAGGCGUCUUCUCAUGGUUUCAGGGUUACUUCAAUAGUCUCUUCUCUAGACUCAUCUCUCAUCAAUUUCUUUUGCUUACCCGCUAAUUAAUUAUUGCUCUACUAGCUGUUGGUUUUAAAUGGAGACAGAUAACAGCGAAGUCAAGUCCAAAAUGGAAGAUUAUGAAGUCAUAGAACAGAUUGGGAGAGGAGCUUUUGGUUCUGCUUUUCUUGUUCUUCAUAAAGCUGAGAAUAAGAAGUAUGUUUUGAAGAAGAUUCGCCUGGCCAAGCAGACGGAGAAGUUCAAGGAAACAGCUCACCAGGAGAUGGACUUGAUUGCAAAACUUAAUAACCCAUAUAUCGUGGAGUAUAAAGAUUCUUGGGUGGACAAGGGAAGUUGUAUAUGCAUAGUUACGGCCUAUUGUGAAGGUGGAGACAUGGCUGAGAUUAUAAAGAAGGCCAGAGGCAUUUUUUUACCUGAAGAGAAGCUCUGCAAAUGGUUGACUCAGUUAUUGCUAGCUGUGGACUACCUACACUCUAACCGUGUCCUUCACAGAGAUCUUAAGUGCUCCAACAUAUUCCUUACAAAGGACAAUGAUGUUCGCCUCGGUGACUUUGGACUUGCAAAGCUGCUUAACACAGAAGACCUUGCUUCUUCGGUUGUUGGCACUCCCAAUUACAUGUGUCCUGAGCUGCUAGCAGAUAUACCUUAUGGCUACAAAUCUGACAUAUGGUCGCUUGGCUGCUGUAUGUUUGAAAUGGCUGCUCAUCAUCCAGCAUUUAGAGCUCCUGAUAUGGCUGGACUAAUCAACAAAAUAAACAGAUCCACCAUUUCUCCUCUCCCAAUUGUGUAUUCCUUCUCACUGAAACAAAUUAUUAAGAGCAUGCUGAGGAAGAACCCUGAACACAGACCAACAGCUGCAGAACUGUUAAGACAUCCUCAUUUGCAAUCAUAUUUACUUCGUUGCCGCAAUGCUUCUUCUGCAUUACUUCCAAUAAAGCCCAUAAACAAUUCAAAGGAGAAAACAAGGAGAAAAUCAUUGUCCAGCAAAUCUAAUGGUCGCAAAGCCAACAAGGAUAGGGAAGUUAGGCCACUUAACCAGUUAGAAAAUGAUCAUCCAUUUGAGAGAAAUGGUGUAGUGCAACAAAGCAAUCAACCCCACAUUGACAUCCCAACAUCAACAUCCAGUGCAGAAGACAACCUUGAGACCAAGAGGGUUGAUCCUACUAGCUGUACUGUGGAAAUAUCAGAUUCUAUGACUGGUCCAAAGGACAGCUCCUCUGGUUCUGAAACUAGUGUUUGCAAUGGAGAUAAGCAAGUUGACUCUAGCAGUCUACUUCAAAAAGAUAGCACUCAAAUUGAGUUUAUGUUGAAGAACUCACGGAAUUCUGAACGUGAAGAAGAGACCACAUCUGAGCAUUUUCAACAAUUGCAAGAGGUUAAUGUCAAACUUGUCACUGCAAAAGAUCAACUAACUGUUUGCAACCAAAAAGUUGUUGAAGAAGCUGAAACAGACAGAGAGGGUGUGACAGCAGCAGAUAGCAGGGAAUUGGCAAUUCCUGGUCUAAAUUGCACUGACAAAGUUGAUUCCUUUGAUGAUAAAAGCUCAGAGUCACCUAUAAAUAAACCUUAUGCAGAGUCGGAAUGCCGUUUACAGAAACCAGAAAGCCCUGAUGUGUACACAGAAGGAACUCAUAUGGAAUACUUAUCAUCCGAAAGUAAUGAUAUCCUUCCGUGCAAAGAUGAAAUCGGAGCAAAACCAGAUAAGAAUAAAUUCUCUAUCCAUAUGGAGAAAGAUGACGCUUAUGGGGUGAGGGUACCAACACCAAGUGAAAUUUCAUUGCUUAAUGCACUAGCUGCAAUGCAUGGUGAUGAAACCAAGAGUGAGUGGGAGAAUCCUGGACAGCAAAGAGCUGAUGCUCUAGAGUCUUUGCUUGAGCUAUGUGCACGGCUACUUAAACAGGACAAAAUUGAUGAGCUUGCCGGUGUGUUAAAGCCAUUUGGGGAAGAAGUGGUCUCGUCUAGAGAAACAGCAAUUUGGUUAACAAAAAGUCUCAUGUCGCAACAUAAAUUUAAUGGAGGGACCUAAAUAUGAGAUGGCAGUUAGAGGUCUAAGAGAUGCAAAUAGACUAUGCUCAAUUUCUCUUUUCUUGGUGCACCGGAAAUUUCUAAAGGUUCUUCCGCCGUACAGAGGAUGCCCACAUUGGAUCACCAGAUCUUUCCUAUGACAUAGGAUACCCACUAUGAACCAGACACCUUGUUGUACCUCCAGUGGAUGGCUGUAAUAUAUAUCUAUUAGGGUAUGUGACAAAGAAAAGUACCUUCAAUGAAUAAUGGUCUAUUAGGGUAUGCAACUAUAGAAUUCCUGACAAAAUAAAAGUUAAAUUCUAUAGAAUUGUAAUUAAGUUAUAUUGUCUAAGAGCAAAUAUUAGCAUCCAAAGGAUGUGGUAUAGAUGGGGAUGAUAAGAUGUAUGUUUGGUAAUACAUAACGUGGAUCAACGUAGUAUUGAAAGAUUUACAAUUUUUAAAUAUUAAUGCUAAA